This is a non-coding RNA of Pelobates cultripes (western spadefoot toad), 262 nucleotides long. The record is from the annotation of a GenBank genome assembly. NCBI's taxonomy places the organism in Eukaryota, Metazoa, Chordata, Amphibia, Anura, Pelobatidae.
CUCACUCAAAAUUAGAUCUUGGCCCCAAGCAAGUACACUAGCACCCUUCAGUAUCAUUGGAUAUAUACCCUGUGGAUUACCACGCCUCAGCCAGAGGUGGUGUUAAGGCGUAUCUAUAGAGAUACUAAGUGACCACCUCCUUGUGUCCAGACCCACAUCAAUCCAAAUGGAAAUAUUUUUUUCUAUCUUCUCUUAUGUACCCGCCACAGAAAUAAUAAUUGCCUCUAUGAAUUUGUUAUUAUUUUCCCAUUCUAUACAUAUG